RNAcentral lists this ribosomal RNA (253 nucleotides) under uncultured bacterium. RNAcentral's name for it is "partial 16S ribosomal RNA". It matches the Rfam family "Bacterial small subunit ribosomal RNA", at positions 524 to 776 of the family's 1533-position model. The record is from RNAcentral.
UACGUAGGUAGCGAGCGUUGUUCGGAGUUACUGGGCGUAAAGGGUGUGUAGGCGGUUGUUUAAGGUUGGUGUGAAAUCUCCCGGCUCAACUGGGAGGGUGCGCCGAAUACUGAAUGACUCGAGUGUGGGAGAGGUGAGUGGAAUUCCUGGUGUAGCGGUGAAAUGCGUAGAUAUCAGGAGGAACACCGGUGGUGUAGACGGCUCACUGGACCAUAACUGACGCUGAGACACGAAAGCGUGGGUAGCAAACAGG